This 512-nucleotide long non-coding RNA is filed under the name Drosophila guanche. Lineage: Eukaryota; Metazoa; Arthropoda; Insecta; Diptera; Drosophilidae. The record is from RNAcentral.
GCUGCACAGAACAAAAAUUGCAUUCAAGGUUGGAAGACUUAAUUGAUGUGCGUGUAGAAAAUAUACAAAAAAAAAAAACGUGGUGAAAAUUUUGCAAAACCAUAAAAGGGAACAUAAACCAAAUAAAAACCAAUAUAAAAGUGUUGUGGCUGCAAAGACGAAAACUUAAAAACCAACCCCUGGAUAAGGUACGCCAAGAAAAAAAUGAAAAAGUGACCUUAUUACAUAAUUCCAUGUAUGUAGUGUACAUAGGUUAUGAUCCACGUGUGGCAGGAAAUUGCUGACCUGGCCUGACCCUCGGUCUCGGAGGGGGGUCCGCUCCAGUACCACGAUCAUCCGUCCCUCUUUUUGGUGCCACCGGACCUUGCCUGCAGGCGAAAAAACGGAUGGACUUGGCGAUCGGGACCGAGUUGUUUAUAUACAUAUAUCUCACGCGCAACUAUAAAACCAUCUAUUAUAUUAUAUCACCGCGCCUUGUGUAAAGAAAUGUUGGUGCUUGCAUAUGUAGGGUG